Cheilinus undulatus (humphead wrasse) is the source of this 832-nucleotide long non-coding RNA. RefSeq lists it as uncharacterized. NCBI's taxonomy places the organism in Eukaryota, Metazoa, Chordata, Actinopteri, Labriformes, Labridae. The record is from RefSeq and is a predicted model, not a curated record. The transcript has 4 exons.
GCUGUUUAACCGUUGAUUAGUGACGUGGUUAACGAUAGGGCAAAUUUUCUGGUAAAGGAAGGCCAUACUCCGAGUGGCAGUCAGGUUAAUAGCAAGGGUGAGGAGGAUAGAAACUAUGGGCUGCCUCAACCUGCUUGGUUCUGGUCCUGGGAACAGUCAGAAAGCACGCCCUAGAGGACCAUAGAUGUCUGGAUGUCUCAUAACAGACUCAAAGAGCAUACAGCUGUUCAAACAGGUAGCGUGGAAACAUCGGAGCUGUGUUUAAGUUGAUCAGACUGCAGGGACAAAAAUGUGGAGGUCGAUGUGUUGUCUUUGUGUCUGUUUGUGCGUACACUCAGCCGUGACUGUGGCCCUGGGAAAAAAAAGACACAACAUCCCUUUCUGUCUACUGUGUGAACAGGAUUCAGAGGGAGGUUUCCUAUCAUCAAGGCAUGGACUCUGCAUGGGACGCUGCAGGAAAAAACAGCUGACAGUCUCUGGAAUGCUCCUGGACGUACGAGGUUAACUGGGAUUUAACCUUUACAUGGUGGGAGGGGAGUGCUGCUAAAACACAGCAGCGACCUCUGACUGGACUGUCGUCAUUAGACAAUGAAAGAACAAGUUAGUCAUCUUGUUGAGAUAAGUCCAGCGUAAAACAGCAUCAAAACAUGAUUUUUAGGAAAUAGUUCAAACUUGUUUAUCAAGACAAAAUGAGAACAUUUCAGCGAUUGUGAUUCUAGGAAAAACAGCUUUUACCUGAUUAUCAGGCAUUACACUGAACAUCUUUGGUCUUAACUGAAACUGUGACAAAACAUUUUAAUUAUAAUAAAUGUCAGAAGUUAAUCACCCAUAA